AGAGUUUGAUCAUGGCUCAGAUUGAACGCUGGCGGUAGGCUUAACACAUGCAAGUCGUGCGAGAAAGUAUCUUCGGAUAUGAGUAGAGCGGCGGACGGGUGAGUAACGCGUAGGAAUCUACCUAGUAGAAGGGGAUAGCCCGGGGAAACUCGGAUUAAUACCGUAUACCUCCUUUGGGAGAAAGAAGGCCUCUCUUUGAAGCUUUCGCUAUUAGAUGAGCCUGCGUAAGAUUAGCUUGUUGGUGAGGUAAAGGCUCACCAAGGCGACGAUCUUAGCGGGUCUGAGAGGACGAUCCGCCACAUUGGGACUGAGACACGGCCCAGACUCUACGGGAGGCAGCAGUGGGGAAUAUUGGACAAUGGGCGCAAGCCUGAUCCAGCCAUACCGCGUGUGUGAAGAAGGCCCUAGGGUUGUAAAGCACUUUAAGUUGGGAAGAAAAGUUAUUGGUUAAUACCCAAUGACCGUGACAUUACCAUCAGAAUAAGGACCGGCUAAUUCCGUGCCAGCAGCCGCGGUAAUACGGAAGGUCCAAGCGUUAAUCGGAAUUACUGGGCGUAAAGCGCGCGUAGGUGGUUUAUUAAGUUGGAUGUGAAAUCCCCGGGCUCAACCUGGGAACUGCAUCCAAAACUGAUUCACUAGAGUACGAUAGAGGGAGGUAGAAUUCACAGUGUAGCGGUGGAAUGCGUAGAUAUUGUGAAGAAUACCAAUGGCGAAGGCAGCCUCCUGGAUCUGUACUGACACUGAGGUGCGAAAGCGUGGGUAGCGAACAGGAUUAGAUACCCUGGUAGUCCACGCCGUAAACGAUGUCAACUAGCUGUUGGGAAACAAUGUUUUUCAGUGGCGCAGCUAACGUAGUAAGUUGACCGCCUGGGGAGUACGGCCGCAAGGCUAAAACUCAAAUGAAUUGACGGGGACCCGCACAAGCGGUGGAGCAUGUGGUUUAAUUCGAUGCAACGCGAAAAACCUUACCUAUACUUGACAUACUUGGAAUGCUUUGUAAUGAAGCAGUGCCUUCGGGAGCCAAGAUACAGGUGCUGCAUGGCUGUCGUCAGCUCGUGUCGUGAGAUGUUCCGUUAAGUCGGAUAACGAGCGCAACCCUUACCCUUAUUUGCCAGCGAUUCGGUCGGGAACUAUAAGGGGACUGCCGGUGAUAAACCGGAGGAAGGUGAGGACGACGUCAAGUCAUCAUGGCCCUUACGUAUAGGGCUACACACGUGCUACAAUGGGGAAUACAG
RNAcentral lists this ribosomal RNA (1235 nucleotides) under marine metagenome. RNAcentral's name for it is "bacterial SSU rRNA". It matches the Rfam family "Bacterial small subunit ribosomal RNA", at positions 8 to 1242 of the family's 1533-position model. The record is from RNAcentral.